AUUGAACGCUGGCGGCAUGCCUUACACAUGCAAGUCGAACGGCAGCACGGGUGCUUGCACCUGGUGGCGAGUGGCGAACGGGUGAGUAAUACAUCGGAACAUGUCCUGUAGUGGGGGAUAGCCCGGCGAAAGCCGGAUUAAUACCGCAUACGAUCCACGGAUGAAAGCGGGGGACCUUCGGGCCUCGCGCUAUAGGGUUGGCCGAUGGCUGAUUAGCUCGUUGGUGGGGUAAAGGCCUACCAAGGCGACGAUCAGUAGCUGGUCUGAGAGGACGACCAGCCACACUGGGACUGAGACACGGCCCAGACUCCUACGGGAGGCAGCAGUGGGGAAUUUUGGACAAUGGGCGAAAGCCUGAUCCAGCAAUGCCGCGUGUGUGAAGAAGGCCUUCGGGUUGUAAAGCACUUUUGUCCGGAAAGAAAUCCUUGACUCUAAUACAGUCGGGGGAUGACGGUACCGGAAGAAUAAGCACCGGCUAACUACGUG
Molecule: ribosomal RNA, 486 nt
Filed under: uncultured bacterium
Lineage: Bacteria
Description: partial 16S ribosomal RNA
Rfam family: Bacterial small subunit ribosomal RNA
Source: RNAcentral